GAUGAACGCUGGCGGCGUGCCUAAUACAUGCAAGUCGAACGAAACUUCUUUAUCACCGAGUGCUUGCACUCACCGAUAAAGAGUUGAGUGGCGAACGGGUGAGUAACACGUGGGCAACCUGCCCAAAAGAGGGGGAUAACACUUGGAAACAGGUGCUAAUACCGCAUAACCAUAGUUACCGCAUGGUAACUAUGUAAAAGGUGGCUAUACUACCGCUUUUGGAUGGGCCCGCGGCGCAUUAGCUAGUUGGUAGGGUAAAGGCUUACCAAGGCAAUGAUGCGUAGCCGAAUUGAGAGGUUGAUCGGCCACAUUGGGACUGAGACACGGCCCAAACUCCUACGGGAGGCAGCAGUAGGGAAUCUUCCACAAUGGGCGAAAGCCUGAUGGAGCAACGCCGCGUGGGUGAAGAAGGUCUCGGAUCGUAAAACCCUGUUGUUAGAGAAGAAAGUGCGUGAGAGUAACUGUUCACGUUUCGACGGUAUCUAACCAGAAAGCCACGGCUAACUACGUG
RNAcentral lists this ribosomal RNA (511 nucleotides) under uncultured bacterium. RNAcentral's name for it is "partial 16S ribosomal RNA". It matches the Rfam family "Bacterial small subunit ribosomal RNA", at positions 28 to 507 of the family's 1533-position model. The record is from RNAcentral.